RNAcentral lists this ribosomal RNA (497 nucleotides) under uncultured bacterium. RNAcentral's name for it is "partial 16S ribosomal RNA". It matches the Rfam family "Bacterial small subunit ribosomal RNA", at positions 28 to 507 of the family's 1533-position model. The record is from RNAcentral.
GAUGAACGCUGGCGGCGUGCCUAAUACAUGCAAGUCGAGCGAACGGACGAGAAGCUUGCUUCUCUGAUGUUAGCGGCGGACGGGUGAGUAACACGUGGAUAACCUACCUAUAAGACUGGGAUAACUUCGGGAAACCGGAGCUAAUACCGGAUAAUAUUUUGAACCGCAUGGUUCAAAAGUGAAAGACGGUCUUGCUGUCACUUAUAGAUGGAUCCGCGCUGCAUUAGCUAGUUGGUAAGGUAACGGCUUACCAAGGCAACGAUGCAUAGCCGACCUGAGAGGGUGAUAGGCCACACUGGAACUGAGACACGGUCCAGACUCCUACGGGAGGCAGCAGUAGGGAAUCUUCCGCAAUGGGCGAAAGCCUGACGGAGCAACGCCGCGUGAGUGAUGAAGGUCUUCGGAUCGUAAAACUCUGUUAUUAGGGAAGAACAUAUGUGUAAGUAAAUGUGCACAUCUUGACGGUACCUAAUCGGAAAGCCACGGCUAACUACGUG